This 468-nucleotide ribosomal RNA is filed under the name uncultured bacterium. RNAcentral's name for it is "partial 16S ribosomal RNA". It matches the Rfam family "Bacterial small subunit ribosomal RNA", at positions 28 to 507 of the family's 1533-position model. The record is from RNAcentral.
GACGAACGCUGGCGGCGUGCUUAACACAUGCAAGUCGAACGGAAAGGCCCUGCUUUUGUGGGGUGCUCGAGUGGCGAACGGGUGAGUAACACGUGAGUAACUUGCCCUUGACUUUGGGAUAACUUCAGGAAACUGGGGCUAAUACCGGAUAGGAGCUCCUGCUGCAUGGUGGGGGUUGGAAAGUUUCGGCGGUUGGGGAUGGACUCGCGGCUUAUCAGCUUGUUGGUGGGGUAGUGGCUUACCAAGGCUUUGACGGGUAGCCGGCCUGAGAGGGUGACCGGCCACAUUGGGACUGAGAUACGGCCCAGACUCCUACGGGAGGCAGCAGUGGGGAAUACUGCACAAUGGGCGGAAGCCUGAUGCAGCAACGCCGCGUGCGGGAUGACGGCCUUCGGGUUGUAAACCGCUUUCGCCUGUGACGAAGCGUGAGUGACGGUAAUGGGUAAAGAAGCACCGGCUAACUACGUG